This 408-nucleotide ribosomal RNA is filed under the name uncultured bacterium. RNAcentral describes it as "partial 16S ribosomal RNA". It matches the Rfam family "Bacterial small subunit ribosomal RNA", at positions 28 to 526 of the family's 1533-position model. The record is from RNAcentral.
GACGAACGCUGGCGGCGUGCUUAACACAUGCAAGUCGAACGGAGUGGCGAACGGGUGAGUAACACGGGGGUGACCUGCCCUGCACUUCGGGAUAAGCAUGGGAAACUGGGUCUAAUACCGGAUAGUGGGGGAUGGGCCCGCGGCCGAUCAGCUGGUGGGUGGGGUAAUGGCCUACCAAGGCGGCGACGGGUAGCCGGCCUGAGAGGGUGGACGGCCACAUUGGGACUGAGACACUGCCCAGACUCAUACGGGAGGAAGCAGUGGGGAAUAGUGCACAAUGGGCGGACGCCUGAUGCAGCGACGUCGCGUGGGGGAUGACGGCCUUCGGGUUGUAAACUCCUUUCACCAUCGACGAGGUAGAUGGAGAAGAAGCACCGGCUAACGACGUGCCAGCAGCCGCGGGAAUAC